GACGAACGCUGGCGGCGUGCUUAACACAUGCAAGUCGAACGGGAAGGCCCUGCUUUUGUGGGGUGCUCGAGUGGCGAACGGGUGAGUAACACGUGAGUAACCUGCCCUUGACUUUGGGAUAACUUCAGGAAACUGGGGCUAAUACCGGAUAGGAGCUCCUGCUGCAUGGUGGGGGUUGGAAAGUUUCGGCGGUUGGGGAUGGACUCGCGGCUUAUCAGCUUGUUGGUGGGGUAGUGGCUUACCAAGGCUUUGACGGGUAGCCGGCCUGAGAGGGUGACCGGCCACAUUGGGGCUGAGAUACGGCCCAGACUCCUACGGGAGGCAGCAGUGGGGAAUAUUGCACAAUGGGCGGGAGCCUGAUGCAGCAACGCCGCGUGCGGGAUGACGGCCUUCGGGUUGUAAACCGCUUUCGCCUGUGACGAAGCGUGAGUGACGGUAAUGGGUAAAGAAGCACCGGCUAACUACGUGCCAGCAGCCGCGGUGAUACGUAGGGUGCGAGCGUUGUCCGGAUUUAUUGGGCGUAAAGGGCUCGUAGGUGGUUGAUCGCGUCGGAAGUGUAAUCUUGGGGCUUAACCCUGAGCGUGCUUUCGAUACGGGUUGACUUGAGGAAGGUAGGAGAGAAUGGAAUUCCUGGUGGAGCGGUGGAAUGCGCAGAUAUCAGGAGGAACACCAGUGGCGAAGGCGGUUCUCUGGGCCUUUCCUGACGCUGAGGAGCGAAAGCGUGGGGAGCGAACAGGCUUAGAUACCCUGGUAGUCCACGCUGUAAACGGUGGGUACUAGGUGUGGGGUCCAUUCCACGGGUUCCGUGCCGUAGCUAACGCUUUAAGUACCCCGCCUGGGGAGUACGGCCGCAAGGCUAAAACUCAAAGGAAUUGACGGGGCCCCGCACAAGCGGCGGAGCAUGCGGAUUAAUUCGAUGCAACGCGUAGAACCUUACCUGGGUUUGACAUGGAUCGGGAGCGCUCAGAGAUGGGUGUGCCUCUUUUGGGGUCGGUUCACAGGUGGUGCAUGGCUGUCGUCAGCUCGUGUCGUGAGAUGCUGGGUUAAGUCCCGCAACGAGCGCAACCCUUGUUCACUGUUGCCAGCACGUUAUGGUGGGGACUCAGUGGAGACCGCCGGGGUCAACUCGGAGGAAGGUGGGGAUGACGUCAAGUCAUCAUGCCCCUUAUGUCCAGGGCUUCACGCAUGCUACAAUGGCUGGUACAGAGAGUGGCGAGCCUGUGAGGGUGAGCGAAUCUCGGAAAGCCGGUCUCAGUUCGGAUUGGGGUCUGCAACUCGACCUCAUGAAGUCGGAGUCGCUAGUAAUCGCAGAUCAGCAACGCUGCGGUGAAUACGUUCCCGGG
Molecule: ribosomal RNA, 1343 nt
Filed under: uncultured bacterium
Lineage: Bacteria
Description: 16S ribosomal RNA
Rfam family: Bacterial small subunit ribosomal RNA
Source: RNAcentral